AUGGGCUUAAUUCAAGGGUAGAAUGCUUCACUGUCAAUGUAGACAUACAGGUUCAAGUCCUGUGGCUAGAC
Molecule: transfer RNA, 71 nt
Filed under: Clathrina clathrus
Lineage: Eukaryota; Metazoa; Porifera; Calcarea; Clathrinida; Clathrinidae
Description: tRNA-Asp
Rfam family: tRNA
About the family: Transfer RNA (tRNA) molecules are approximately 80 nucleotides in length. Their secondary structure includes four short double-helical elements and three loops (D, anti-codon, and T loops). Further hydrogen bonds mediate the characteristic L-shaped molecular structure. tRNAs have two regions of fundamental functional importance: the anti-codon, which is responsible for specific mRNA codon recognition, and the 3' end, to which the tRNAs corresponding amino acid is attached (by aminoacyl-tRNA synthetases). tRNAs cope with the degeneracy of the genetic code in two manners: having more than one tRNA (with a specific anti-codon) for a particular amino acid; and 'wobble' base-pairing, i.e. permitting non-standard base-pairing at the 3rd anti-codon position.
Source: RNAcentral